Molecule: ribosomal RNA, 379 nt
Filed under: uncultured bacterium
Lineage: Bacteria
Description: bacterial SSU rRNA
Rfam family: Bacterial small subunit ribosomal RNA
Source: RNAcentral
CCUGAACGCUGGCGGCGUGGUUAAGACAUGCAAGUCGAACGCACUGUAGCAAUACAGUGAGUGGCGAAAGGGUGAGUAAUGUAUCGCUAACGUACCCCGGACUCAGGGAUAGCUGCCCGAAAGGGCAGGUAAUACCUGAUGAUGUAACUGCAGGGCAUCCUGUGGUUCCCAAAGGUCCGCCGGUCUGGGAGCGGGCGAUAUCGUAUCAGCUAGUUGGUGAGGUAACGGCUCACCAAGGCGACGACGCGUAACCGGACUGAGAGGUCGGCCGGUCACAUCGGGACUGAGACACUGCCCGGACUCCGUACGGGGGCUGCAGUAACGAAUCUUCCGCAAUGGCGCAAGCUGACGGAGCGACGCCGCGUGUGGGACGAAGUCC